RNAcentral lists this ribosomal RNA (569 nucleotides) under Oryza sativa (Asian cultivated rice). RNAcentral describes it as "eukaryotic LSU rRNA". The stretch from base 181 to 334 matches the Rfam family "5.8S ribosomal RNA". The record is from RNAcentral. Lineage: Eukaryota; Viridiplantae; Streptophyta; Magnoliopsida; Poales; Poaceae.
UCUGUAGGGACUGCGGAGGAUCAUUACCGAAUAUUACGACGUUCACUCCACUUGAAGUCCGAUCUCUCGCUUUCUGCACCCUGUGCCUUUGUUUUGGCUAGCAGGAUAUCUCGGUAUCCGAACACCUCUUCAUUUACAAACACUAACUUCUAUGAAUGUUGAAAUUUUAUAACAAAAUAAAACUUUCAACAACGGAUCUCUUGGCUCUCGCAUCGAUGAAGAACGCAGCGAAAUGUGAUAAGUAAUGUGAAUUGCAGAAUUCAGUGAAUCAUCGAAUCUUUCAACGCAUCUUGCACUCUCUGGUAUUCCGGAGAGUAUGCCUGUUUGAGUGUCAUGAAUUCUUCAACCCUCCCUUUUCUUAGUGAAUUGAGAGGUGUUUGGAUUCUGAGUGUUGCUCCUAAUCCGAGCUCAUUCGGAAUGCAUUACCAUCCAUAUUCUAAUUUCAGAUUGACUUGGCGCAAAGAGUAUUCGCUGAGGAAGCCCCCCCACAGGAGCCGUGUUGAUCUAUUAAGCCCUACUCUAUCCUACUGUAGCUUAGUUUAACCUCAACUCUUUCUGAUUGCUUACGA